Molecule: ribosomal RNA, 523 nt
Filed under: uncultured bacterium
Lineage: Bacteria
Description: bacterial SSU rRNA
Rfam family: Bacterial small subunit ribosomal RNA
Source: RNAcentral
UGGGGAAUNUNGCGCAAUGGGCGAAAGCCUGACGCAGCCAUGCCGCGUGAAUGAUGAAGGUCUUAGGAUUGUAAAAUUCUUUCACCGGGGACGAUAAUGACGGUACCCGGAGAAGAAGCCCCGGCUAACUUCGUGCCAGCAGCCGCGGUAAUACGAAGGGGGCUAGCGUUGCUCGGAAUUACUGGGCGUAAAGGGAGCGUAGGCGGACAUUUAAGUCAGGGGUGAAAUCCCGGGGCUCAACCUCGGAAUUGCCUUUGAUACUGGGUGUCUUGAGUGUGAGAGAGGUAUGUGGAACUCCGAGUGUAGAGGUGAAAUUCGUAGAUAUUCGGAAGAACACCAGUGGCGAAGGCGACAUACUGGCUCAUUACUGACGCUGAGGCUCGAAAGUGUGGGGAGCAAACAGGAUUAGAUACCCUGGUAGUCCACGCCGUAAACGAUGAUUGCUAGUUGUCGGGAUGCAUGCAUUUCGGUGACGCAGCUAACGCAUUAAGCAAUCCGCCUGGGGAGUACGGUCGCAAGAUUA